RNAcentral lists this ribosomal RNA (327 nucleotides) under uncultured eukaryote. RNAcentral describes it as "partial 18S ribosomal RNA". It matches the Rfam family "Eukaryotic small subunit ribosomal RNA", at positions 1470 to 1796 of the family's 1831-position model. The record is from RNAcentral.
CCCUUAGAUGUUCUGGGCCGCACGCGCGCUACACUGAUGAAUUCAACGAGUUUUCCACCUUGACCGAGAGGUCCGGGAAAUCUUUUCAACUUUCAUCGUGCUGGGGAUAGAUUAUUGCAAUUGUUAAUCUUGAACGAGGAAUUCCUAGUAAGCGCGAGUCAUCAGCUCGCGUUGAUUACGUCCCUGCCCUUUGUACACACCACCCGUCGCACCUACCGAUUGAGUGAUCCGGUGAAUAAUUCGGACCGGUGAGCUUCCAGGUUUACCUGGCUGCUUGCUGGAAAGUCUAGUGAACCUUAUCACUUAGAGGAAGGAGAAGUCGUAACA